Eubalaena glacialis (North Atlantic right whale) is the source of this 207-nucleotide long non-coding RNA. RefSeq lists it as uncharacterized. The record is from RefSeq and is a predicted model, not a curated record. The transcript has 3 exons. Lineage: Eukaryota; Metazoa; Chordata; Mammalia; Artiodactyla; Balaenidae.
ACAGACACAUGCACGAUGCACAGAACAGAGGGAGUAAGAGGAUAAGGAUGGUUCAGAUGUUCUCGGAGGCCCUUUCCAGCUUCGGCACUCUAUAAAUCUGUUUGGCGAGGACACUGGGGUUCAGAGAGAUCAAGGCGCUCCAUCAAAGUCAUCCGCUCAGGAAGUGGAUGAGCACGGCGUGACCCCAGACCUGUCUUCCCGUCAAAG